RNAcentral lists this long non-coding RNA (2456 nucleotides) under Mytilus galloprovincialis (Mediterranean mussel). The record is from RNAcentral. Lineage: Eukaryota; Metazoa; Mollusca; Bivalvia; Mytilida; Mytilidae.
GUCUGGACUUCAUGGACUUCUUGAUUAAAUAAUUUAGAUUUUAUACAAUUUUAGCUUGUUACCAAAAGAAUGGAAAGUACAGUAUUAAAACCACUGGUGAACAUGUACUGUACAUGUAGGUGUGAAUGUCCUGCAAAAAGAACUGAUAUCAAAGUAUGUUCAUCUGCAGAAUUGCAGUAAAUAUAAAUAAUUUGAUGCACUCUGUUCUCAAGUAUAAUUGUACAUGUACACUUGCUUAUUUUUCUCUCUUUCCAAUGUCAAGUAUGCUUCAAGGCAUCCUUACCCUGAUCCCCUCCUGCUCCAUACACACACACUCAGAAGUUCAAAUAAUCAGCAUUUAUAUAUUACAAACCUACCUAGUCAGACUGGCCUAUACAAUGUAUAUUAUGAAUUGACAAGUUGUUCUUGUUUUGAAUACAUAAAAUAUUUGCCACUGGACAUAGUUUCCGUACAAUAACUUUAGUUUAAGUAAAUGGAUUCUAUCUCUAUGAAAUUUAAAUACAAGGUUUGAACCCACACAAGGAAGAUUGGGAUUGAUUUUGGGGUUAUGGUCCCAACAGUUUAGGAACAAGGAGCCCAAAAGGGGUCAAAAUAAGUAUUUUCCUAGGUUCCAGACAAUUACUUGUGUAUAAGUGUAUGGAUCUUUCUGAAAUUGUACCACAAGGACUUGAAGGUUCCAUACCAAAAAAAAAAAAGGUUGGGAUUGAUUUUGGGGGUUAUCAUGGUUAUGGCACAAACUGUUUAUGAAUUAGGGGCCAAAAACAAUACUUCUCUAAUACUUUGUAUAAGUUGCUUAUUUCUAGACCAAUUUCAAUGGGGUUUUAUUCUUGAAUUCUUGGGGUUCUUUAAUAUGCUGAAUCAAACCCUGUAUUAAGUUUUUUUUAAUUUGGUCCCCGUUUUUAUACGACCGCAAAAUGUUUGCGUUCUUAUAUUGGUAUCACGUUGUCGGCUAUAUAAAAUGUACAAUAUACAAUGCAAUAUUCACUUAACUACCAACUGAUAAAUUAAAGCAAUCUUCACCAUUCAGUGAUUACAAGCACUCUGAUUACCAUUCUAGGGUUAUGCCCCUUUACAAGUGGAAAAAUUGAAGAAUUUUUUAGUUUCUGUUCUCUUAACUUAAGUUUGUCUCAACUAAAUUUAAUGAAAUGUGUAUAAUAAUGCUUAUUACCUCUAAACUCAGUUUAAGUUCAAUUUUUGGCAUCUUCACUUUUACAGUUCUUGAGUUAUGUCCCUUUAUAACGUCAUAUGUAAGCAGGGGGCAUCAUCUGUGUCCUUUUGGACACAUUCCCCAUUUAUUUUUUUAGAAGUUACUAUUAAUUCUAACCAUGACUGUAUGACAUUUUAUAUUUUAAUAUUUUAUGAUGUAUUUAAAUGAGUAGUUAUUGUUGCAAACUCCAUUAGAAUUUUGAAUUGAGAUCAUUUUUGGAAUAAGAGAAAGGGGGACGUGGAAAAAAAUUGGGGUGGGGGUCAAUUUUUUUUUCUCAUUUUAGAUUUCAGAAUUUAAAAAGAAAAUUUCUUCAAAUAUUUUUUUUUUGAGAGGAUUAAUAUUCAACAGCAUAGUAAAUUGCUCAAAAGCAAAAAAAAAAAAAAUUAAGUUCAUUAGACCACAUUUAUUCUGUGUCAGAAACCUAUGAUGUGUCAACUAUUUAAUCACAAUCCAAAUUCAGAGCUGUAUUCAGCUUGAAUGUUGUGUCCAUACUUGCCUCAACCUUCAGGGUUCGACCUCUGCAGUCGUAUAAAGCUGCACCCUGCGGAGUAUCUGGUUAAAUUGGUCACAAUUUAGGUCCAAAUGCCAUACAUAUUAUACACAGGUAAUGUGUAGUACACAUGCAUGAAUAGAGUUAGUUUUCAUUAUUUAAAAAAAAAAGGAAAAUAUGUAGUAUCAUUGCCAAUGAGACAACUAUUCAUCAGGUCAAAAUGACUGAAUGUUAGCAACUAAAGAUCACUUUACAUGUAUGUACAGCUUUCAACAAUGAGCAAAACCAAUACAGCAUCAAGCAAGCUAUGUCCUGGAAUGACAGAUGUAAAACAAUUCCAAAGAGAAAAUUAAGGGCCUGAUUUACAUAAAAGCGAAAAAAACAACCAUGAGAUAAAUACAUGUAGCAAAAACAACAACUAUUAUUUCUCCACUCCAGUUGUUCACACGAUAUUUAUGUAUAUAUAUAUAUGUAAGUUUGGUAAAUCAUUACUUAUCAAAUUUAUGUUAUCAUUUUUUGCUUGAUUGGUAAGCCAAUAUUUUAUGGUUAUUUUUUUUUUAAUUACAGCAACUGUAUUCCAAGAGUCUGAUGGCUGAUAAUGUAUUACAGGAUUUUAUCAUUCAAGCAACAUCUUAGAAGGAUAAGUGCAAAUGUAUGAAGGAAGCCGUGGGUACAAAUAGCAAUUACAGCAGAUACAUGCAGGAGAGAACUCUUAAACAAAGACAUGAUAUGGGAGUGAUGUAUUCAAGAAAUCUCAAA